This is a long non-coding RNA of Lytechinus pictus (painted urchin), 249 nucleotides long. RefSeq lists it as uncharacterized. The record is from RefSeq and is a predicted model, not a curated record. Lineage: Eukaryota; Metazoa; Echinodermata; Echinoidea; Temnopleuroida; Toxopneustidae. The transcript has 3 exons.
AGGUGACGAUGAUGGAUACUGACUCUGAUAUGGAACCUGAUAAACCUUCAAGAAAACGUAAACAUUGCACUGUUGAGACACACACAGCGGAUGAGCUCAAGUCAGCGAAUGGUCUUGGGGCAUCUCCAUCAUCAUCAAAUGUACAGGAAGGGUCCUCUCAAAGGAAGAAACAUAAUUUGGUGACGAUGAUGGAUACUGACUCUGAUAUGGAACCUGAUAAACCUUCAAGAAAACGUAAACAUUGCACUG